CACCUGCUCACACCCCUCUGGCUGUAUGUGUGUGUGUGUGUGUUGACUUCCUCUGUCUUGUCACAGCUGGAAUGUCAUCUCUCUUCAUCUGCUGCCCUGCAAUUACAGACAGACACAGAGACAGGAAAGGAUGCACAUUGGACACAUCCCUGUCUGAAUAAUCAAUGGGUUAAUCGUGCUCCUGUCGUAUUAUGGCCGGGAUGCUAUCGAAAGCUAUUUGCACCACGCAGGAGGCUAAUGACCCUGAGCUGAUGCUCGCUGUUCGGCCACGAGCGCCGAUCAAGCGAAGGGACGGCGUGGCGCAGUGAGAUAGUGGCCGUGCGCAACCCGAGGGUCCCUGGUUCAAAUCCCACCUUGUACCAACUUCGUCACGUCCGUUGUGUCCUGAGCAAGACACUUCACCCUUGCUCCUGAUGGGUGCUGGUUGGCGCCUUGCAUGGCAGCUCCCUCCAUCAAUGUGUGAAUAUGUGUGUGAAUGGGUAAAUGUGGAAGUAGUGUCAAAGCGCUUUGAGUACCUUGAAGGUAGAAAAGCGCUAUACAAGUACAACCCAUUUAUCAUUUAUUAUUUACUUCGAGCAUGAAAAAAAAUCAUGAUUUUGACGCAAUUGUGUCUCAUAUUAAAACAGAUGACAGCCGAAUGGACUUGGCUGUUUUAUUUUCAAUGAAACAAUAGAAAAUACAUACUCAUAUAGUAAGUAAUACACUUGUUAUUAGUGAGAAUUUACUUAUUUUAAGGUAUUUUGGGGUUCAUUGAGGUUAGGUAAUUUUACUUAUUUUGGAAAGUCUUGACAAGCUAAAUUUUCUUGUUCUAUUGGCAGAUAAUUUUGCUUGGUUCAAAUAAAAUACCCCUCAUUGUUGUA
This is a long non-coding RNA of Nerophis ophidion (straightnose pipefish), 860 nucleotides long. RefSeq lists it as uncharacterized. The transcript has 3 exons. NCBI's taxonomy places the organism in Eukaryota, Metazoa, Chordata, Actinopteri, Syngnathiformes, Syngnathidae. The record is from RefSeq and is a predicted model, not a curated record.